This 301-nucleotide ribosomal RNA is filed under the name uncultured bacterium. Its description in RNAcentral is "partial 16S ribosomal RNA". It matches the Rfam family "Bacterial small subunit ribosomal RNA", at positions 509 to 807 of the family's 1533-position model. The record is from RNAcentral.
CAGUCGCCGCGGUAAUACGAAGGGGGCUAGCGUUGUUCGGAAUUACUGGGCGUAAAGCGCGUGUAGGCGGGUCCUUAAGUCAGGGGUGAAAUGCCAAGGCUCAACCUUGGAACUGCCUUUGAUACUGGGGAUCUUGAGUCCGGGAGAGGUGAGUGGAACUGCGAGUGUAGAGGUGAAAUUCGUAGAUAUUCGCAAGAACACCAGUGGCGAAGGCGGCUCACUGGCCCGGAACUGACGCUGAGACGCGAAAGCGUGGGGAGCAAACAGGAUUAGAUACCCCCGUAGUCCCUGUCUCUUAUAC